CCCUUAGAUGUUCUCGGCCGCACACGCGCUACACUGAAAGAGGCAACGUGUUUGCCUGAUUCGAAAGAAUUGGGUAACCCCCUAAUCUCUUUCGUGCUGGGGAUUGAGGUUUGCAAUUAUCCUUCAUGAACGAGGAAUUCCCAGUAAGUGCGAGUCAUUAUCUCGCGCUGACUACGUCCCUGCCCUUUGUACACACCGCCCGUCGCUACUACCGAUUGAAUGAUUUAGUGAGGACUUCGGACUGAGUCCAAUGCGGCUUUCGGGCUGCGUUGGUAUUUCGGAAAGAUGUCCAAACUGUAUCAUUUAGAGGAAGUAAAAGUCGUANCA
Molecule: ribosomal RNA, 327 nt
Filed under: uncultured eukaryote
Lineage: Eukaryota
Description: partial 18S ribosomal RNA
Rfam family: Eukaryotic small subunit ribosomal RNA
Source: RNAcentral